This 459-nucleotide ribosomal RNA is filed under the name uncultured bacterium. RNAcentral's name for it is "partial 16S ribosomal RNA". It matches the Rfam family "Bacterial small subunit ribosomal RNA", at positions 338 to 795 of the family's 1533-position model. The record is from RNAcentral.
CCUACGGGUGGCAGCAGUGAGGAAUAUUGGUCAAUGGGCGGAAGGCUGAACCAGCCAAGUCGCGUGAGGGAGGAAGGCGCUACGCGUCGUAAACCUCUUUUGCCGGGGGACAAAAGGCCGGACGUGUCCGGUCCUGAGGGUACCCGGAGAAAAAGCAUCGGCUAACUCCGUUCCAGCAGCCGCGGUAAUACGGGGGAUUCGAGCGUUAUCCGGAUUCAUUGGGUUUAAAGGGUGCGUAGGGGGGCCUUUAAGCCGGCGGGGAAAUCGCGGGGCUCAACCCCGACGAGCCGUUGGAACUGGGGGCCUUGAGUGCGGCGGAGGAAUGCGGAAUGCGUGGUGUAGCGGUGAAAUGCUUAGAUAUCACGAAGAACUCCGAUUGCGAAGGCAGCCUACUAAACUGCCACUGACAUUGAUGCUCGAAAGUGUGGGUAUCAAACAGGAUUAGAUACCCUUGUAGUC